CUGGGCGGGCGGGACGACCCCCAGUCCCCAGCCCUCACCCCUGCCACAGCACAGACCGCCCGUGCGGGGCGAUGCGGCAGCGGCUGCUCUACUCCUCUGCCGACCCGCAGCAGUGAGAGGCACCGGACGGGGGGCAGCGGGGCCGGGCAGGGACCGGGCCGGGAACGGUGCUGCCUCCGCGGCCUCGCGGGACAGACGGCGGCGGGAGCCGGGGCCGGAACCGGAGCCCGAUUCGGGCAGGAGGAGCCGCAGUGGGAGCCGGGCGUGGUGAGCGGAGAGCGGUGAGCGGAGCUGCCCCGGCCCCAGCAGGGCGGCUGCGGGCAGGAAGGUGCCGCGCUGCCGGUUGCGCCUGAGCCGGAGCAUCCCGGCGGGGUCAGCCGCCUUCAUCUUCCAAGGGAGGUGGGCACUCCGGGUUUGGGGUGGUUUUUUUCCCCCUGCCCUAGUACCCCGUGCGCGUUGUUCGUGCCCUCGGCCGGCAGGGCUGUCCGGCGGCCGGGCGCUGUUGCUCGCACGUCCCGCAGCGCCGGGGCUGCUCCUCCCGCCGUCCGGCACUGGCUGAGACGGGUCCCGGCGGGUUUGGGAAGCCACCGUGAGCUCAGGAGCAGCGCCCGCCGUGCCUCGCCGGUGCUGCUGCUCCGAGAGAGCCUUUUCAGCGGUUUGCCUGUCCUGUGCCGUAACCAAGGGCAUUUGAUUUUCACAAGCGUUUAACUGAGGUGCUUUUCUCAUCAUGCAGACCCUUUAGAUUUGGACGUGAUAACCAACCUGCGCAUUGGACAUUUGGCUUAUAUCCUCAUAUCUUCUUCCUCCUUCCUGAACCAGGGGACUGACUAUGUUCAUUUAAAGGCAAGCAUCCUAGCAUUCCCUGAUCUGCUUAUCCUAUGCUACUCUGACCUUUGCCAGCACUGGAGCUUCCAGGUUCUGACAAAUGGCUGGAGGCAAAGCUUUUUCAAAGUUCCAAAGGAUAUAAUCUUAAAUUGUCCUGGCUUGAGCAGUAAAGGAUAAAUUUGUUCACUGGCUGACUUGUCAUCUCACCGUUGUGAUGGAAAAAUGCUUGCUUAAUAUAAACUCUUUUUAUUCUACUAAAACCUUUGAAUACAAGAUCUGUUGUGAUUUUUAAAACACAAAUCCAGUAAUGUCAGAACCCUACCCUUCAUCUGGAUUUGUAGGAAAUAUGGAAAAUGGGACUUUUCUGGAGCUGUAUCCCACAUCUCUUUCAACCUCAGUGGAUUCAUCACCUGGCCGUUUAUCCAAUGUUUAUGUCUAUGUUUCUAUAUUCCUUAGCCUCUUAGCUUUUCUCCUUUUGUUAUUGAUCAUUGCACUUCAGAGGCUGAAAAACAUAAUUUCUUCCAGUUCCUCCUACCCAGAAUACAAUAGUGAUGCUGGAAGUUCGUUCACUAAUUUAGAGGUUUGCAGUAUUUCUUCCCAGCGCUCUGCUCUCUCAAACCUUUCUUCAUGAAACUAAAUGAAAAGUAAUACAUGGGGAAUGGAAGAGCUCUGUCUAGUUUCUUGGGGAGGUAAUGCAUGCAACAUUCGCCUUAGAAGACUAUUAUGAAGAGGAGGUUUUUUAAGUUUCCUUACUUUUUUUUCCCUUUCCUUUUCUAGUCUUCAUUUCCUCUUUAACUAAUUUUCAUUUUGGACAAUGGAUAAUGAUACUUGAUCAUCAUUUCUUGCCUGUAAUAGUGAUGCUGUCUCUUUCUCACACAUAUAUGGUAUUCAUUAAGAGCAUUCCUGCCAAAUUGUAAUACAGUUUUAACUGGAUGUAUAAUUUUUCUGCCCUAGUUGUGACCCCUUCCUUGGUUUUGUGUCAGUAGUAUGCUGACUAAUUUUCUUUCUCAUUUUUUAAUUAUAUAAGGACUUCUAAGUAAAAUCCCUAUUGCAAAAGUAUAAAAAGAAAUCUGCUUAAAUUAUAAAUAUUAUGAAAAUUUGAAGCUGUUGGUAUUGUUUCUUUUUUUUUCAUUUUCUUGUCUUUUUUGGUAUUUAUUGAUGUUUAUAAAACACAACUAAAAUCCAUUUCUUGAAAAAUAUUGCCUUUGUUUAUUUGUACUCCUAACUCAUUCUGUAUAAAGUCUGUAUUUCAGUUUUUGAGUCUCUGAUUAACUUAGUAAAGCAACUUUAAUAACAAUACUCACUAUCAAAUGUGUGGAGGUAUUUUUAGACCCUGUUGCAGCUCAUUUGCUUAAUGACUUGUUCCUCCAGGGGGCAGCUUUUGCUGCUGAAUCAUAAAUGCCACUCAACUCCUUUGCAUUCUUCACUAAUACUGUAGCUUAUUCUUACUGAAUACCAGGACAAACCAGUGAUUUCUUUUAAAAGACCUGCAUUCAACAAAUAUAGUUUGCAAGGGAAUGGCUCCUAAACUGUCCUUUAGGCACAAGAUAUUUGUACUCAUGUGAGCAUGGCUAGCAGGGACAGAAAUUACUUGUACUGGUGAAGACUCUCUGGGCCAGGUUUUGUCCUGUGAUUUCACAAAUGCUCACUGGAGUGGAGCGGGGACUUGAGGAUCUGCGUUAUGGCCAGGCAGACCUGUGCCCUGACCCUCAGAGCUGUACCUGCAGAGGGUAGGAAAGGAUGGGCAGGAAAAUGGCAGUGGCCCUGUCCCUUUUCUCCAUCAGCAUAAGGAAAGGCCAGAGAUAAGAGGGAGAGAAAUGGUUGAUGUUUCAUCAGUCUCAUUCCUUUUUGCCAUGUCAUAGUUUGGGUUAUGGUUCCCCCAGCCCAAAAUGUAACACAUCACUCAAUUUCUGCAGUAAAAUAACUAGAAGCUUUGUGAACAGGAUUCUUUGGUCAGCUGGGCUUUAAAUCAAGCCAAACAUUCAAAGAAGUGAUUCAGAAUGCCAAGUGUGACCUGCUAGGACUGCAGCGUGAUGCCUUGUUUUCCUUACUGCACUGUGUGAGCACAGCCCCAUCCUGCCACUCAAGCCCAUGCAACUUUUGCUCUCAUGGCAGGAUCCAAGCUGCUGCAGAGACCCAAGGAAGGGUAUGGCGAUGUCACUGCUGCUUCUGUUGCUGACGUAACAGCAGGCACAGCUCUGGGAGAUGGAUUGGUCUUGACAGGAACACAGGGCAGCUGCCCUCUCCUUGCAUGGCAAGCCUACUACCCGGCAGGCUUAGGGGUUAGGGAGCUGCAGAAGACCUCCCAGAUUUAUGCCUCCUGCAAACCUGUCAUUGUGUUCGUCAACAAGACAGACUCUGUCAUUAACUACACAGGCUUUAAAAGAGAAAUUUGGAAAGCCUAGUGUAAAUAUAAUCAUUAGAAAUGCAGCUUCUCAGCCAAACAACACAGAUGAUUCUGGAGUCGGUGUUUUCAAUUUUUAAAAUGACAUAUGGGAUUGUAUAAUCAUCAUGAUUUCAGCUGAGUUGCACCUGUUCUCUUCGGGACAGAUCUGAGUAGAAACAAGUAGGAUCCAACAAAAUAGCAUCAGGAGAAAAGCACCAUGGCAUUUUUGAGGAUUGCUAAGUACCGGUUCUUCAAGGAGAAAAAAAAAGGAAAGAAAAAACAAACCAAUCUUACAACCUGAGCCUCGGUUAAC
This is an RNA transcript of Neopelma chrysocephalum (saffron-crested tyrant-manakin), 3524 nucleotides long. It is a transcript of the gene named serine rich and transmembrane domain containing 1, with no coding region annotated. The transcript is spliced from 5 exons. Lineage: Eukaryota; Metazoa; Chordata; Aves; Passeriformes; Pipridae. The record is from RefSeq and is a predicted model, not a curated record.